RNAcentral lists this non-coding RNA (46 nucleotides) under Trichobilharzia regenti. Lineage: Eukaryota; Metazoa; Platyhelminthes; Trematoda; Strigeidida; Schistosomatidae. The record is from RNAcentral.
GUACUGAUGAUGAGUCCCAUACUGGGACGAAACGGCUUUCCAGUAC